GCCGGAGUGGCGGAAUUGGCGGACGCGCCUGACUCAAAAUCAGGUAUGCUCACGCAUGUGUCGGUUCGAGUCCGACCUCCGGUA
Molecule: transfer RNA, 84 nt
Filed under: Gammaproteobacteria bacterium
Lineage: Bacteria; Pseudomonadati; Pseudomonadota; Gammaproteobacteria
Description: tRNA-Leu
Rfam family: tRNA
About the family: Transfer RNA (tRNA) molecules are approximately 80 nucleotides in length. Their secondary structure includes four short double-helical elements and three loops (D, anti-codon, and T loops).
Source: RNAcentral